UGAGGAAUAUUGGUCAAUGGGCGAGAGCCUGAACCAGCCAAGUAGCGUGAAGGAUGACUGCCCUAUGGGUUGUAAACUUCUUUUAUAAAGGAAUAAAGUCGGGUAUGGAUACCCGUUUGCAUGUACUUUAUGAAUAAGGAUCGGCUAACUCCGUGCCAGCAGCCGCGGUAAUACGGAGGAUCCGAGCGUUAUCCGGAUUUAUUGGGUUUAAAGGGAGCGUAGAUGGAUGUUUAAGUCAGCUGUGAAAGUUUGCGGCUCAACCGUAAAAUUGCAGUUGAUACUGGAUAUCUUGAGUGCAGUUGAGGCAGGCGGAAUUCGUGGUGUAGCGGUGAAAUGCUUAGAUAUCACGAAGAACUCCGAUUGCGAAGGCAGCCUGCUAAGCUGCAACUGACAUUGAGGCUCGAAAGUGUGGGUAUCAAACAGG
This 424-nucleotide ribosomal RNA is filed under the name uncultured bacterium. Its description in RNAcentral is "bacterial SSU rRNA". It matches the Rfam family "Bacterial small subunit ribosomal RNA", at positions 355 to 776 of the family's 1533-position model. The record is from RNAcentral.